RNAcentral lists this ribosomal RNA (398 nucleotides) under uncultured bacterium. RNAcentral describes it as "partial 16S ribosomal RNA". It matches the Rfam family "Bacterial small subunit ribosomal RNA", at positions 523 to 918 of the family's 1533-position model. The record is from RNAcentral.
AUACGUAGGGUGCGAGCGUUGUCCGGAAUUACUGGGCGUAAAGAGCUCGUAGGUGGUUUGUCGCGUCGUCUGUGAAAUUCCGGGGCUUAACUCCGGGCGUGCAGGCGAUACGGGCAUAACUUGAGUACUGUAGGGGAGACUGGAAUUCCUGGUGUAGCGGUGAAAUGCGCAGAUAUCAGGAGGAACACCGGUGGCGAAGGCGGUUCUCUGGGCAGUAACGGACACUGAGGAGCGAAAGCAUGGGUAGCGAACAGGAUUAGGUACCCUGGUAGUCCAUGCCGUAAACGGUGGGCGCUAGGGGUAGGGGUCUUCCACGACUUCUGUGCCGUAGCUAACGCAUUAAGCGCCCCGCCUGGGGAGUACGGCCGCAAGGCUAAAACUCAAAGGAAUUGACGGGG